AUAAAGCGCACGCGCGCGGCACGGAACGUAGCGGUGAAUUGCACGGGGGAGGCGCCGGGACACUCCGGCCUAUCAAGGCGGCGGUGCAUUGGGCGUGUGUGUGAAGGGCGAAAAGCCUGGAAAGAUGGACACUGGGAACAGCACGUGCUUCUACGUUUUUAUCUUUUAUUGAAAAGGCGUAUAAGCCCCGUUAGAGGCGCCGGGGGGGCCGCCUCUUGCAGGGCAGAGGAGCGCGCUGGGCGCUGCCGGCCCUCCUCUUCGUGGGGCGUCGGGAACCCCCAGCCGAGCGCUUCCUGCCCCGGCCGCGAGCGGAGGAGCCGCGGCUGCGGCCCUGCUCAGAGGGACCGGCAGCCUCGGGACCCGGCUGGCCAGGAGUUCCCCUGGAUGUGCCGGGGAGCUCCUCUGUGUUGGGACCCGUGGAGCUGCUGGUGGGCGCGGCUCUGGGGGCGGUGGUCUCCUGAGGAGAGGCAGCAGGACCAGAAGGGGCCGCAGGGCCAUCCUCGUGCUCCUGGGCAGCGCUGGGGUCUUCGGGCUCAUCCUCGUGCUCCUGGCUGGCACUAGGGUCUUCGAGGCCCAGCAGCCUCUGGGCCUCCUGGCCACACAGUCUCUGGAUGGCUUCAAUGGUGAUGUCAACGAGCUGUCCUGUGGUGGGUCCCAGGAUGCCCUCUAAGUGUUGCACCAGGGCAUCCCUGUCCAGCCCCACCUGGCACAGCAAUGCCAGGAUAAUGCUCUUUAGCCACUUGAUUUGCCACCAGCGCAGCACGUGGAUGUGUGACAGCUGCUGCUCCAUCAAGGGCAGCACUGGGUUGAGAAUGUCUUGCCUCUCCCUGAAAAGUGCUGCCCACUCCUCUGGCACGAGGCCGCCCACUCUCUCCAGCUCUUCAGCCUCCUGCUCAGGGAAUGGUGGUGGAGGGGGUGGAAGGAAUUCCUCAGCGCUAUCAGGGCCAGUGUCAGUGGUGGUGCUGAAGCUGAUGGGCACUGGCACUGCGGGCGGGGAGACGAUGCACUCCACGUACUGAUUGUCUCCCCUCACAGAGACCCGGAUGGUCUGCAUAGCUGUCCUGCACAGCGGGCAGCUGUCCCUCAGCCUUGCCCACCGCUGGAUGCAGCCAAGGCAGAACAUGUGAUUGCAUGGAGUUGUAUAGGCAACAUCCUGUCGCACAUCGCGGCAGACGGGACAUUUCCAUGCCUCUGCAGCCAUGAUCUUCUUGCUGCAGUGGGCAGGGAGAACUGAGGAUGAUGAGUUGUUCUCCACCGCCGGAGCUACAGCAGUGGUGUCUCACUCUGCAAGUGGAAAGGAGGUCACAGUCACUCGCUGUCCCAGGGUGUGAAAGUCCUCAGCAGGAAGCCCUCCCAAGCCCAUGACUGGGCCAUCUUGUGCUCCCCGCUGGCACAGGGCCAGGCUCCCCACGGCUGCCCUGAGGGACCCAGGUGUCCCCACACCACUCACCUCCACUGCUGCAGGUGUGCUCGGUAGGGUCCCGGCUGCCUGCACAAGGCAGGGCCAGGAAACAGAAGCAAUACUGCAGGGUCAGGCACUGAGAUGCAGCAAGCAGCCCCAGGCACGACCAGUACAGCACAGCCAAAACCUUGCUCGACCUCCAAGCCUCGCAGAGCUGCUCAGCAGGGUCCAGGAACGAGCCAGACUGAGCCAGGCCCUGCCAGCACCCCACUAUGAGCAGUGAGGGCUAUGCUGUCACAAUCCGUCACCCGGUGAUGUCACAGCCUGUUGCUUGGGGACAUCACCACGGGCUGUCCGCCCCCACAGCACCCACCCAUGUUUCAGAUAUUACCUCCUUUUCCUGCUCCUGAUUUGCUGUACCUUCCCCUUAAUUCCUGUCCCCCUUUUAUGCUGUACAUUUGACAUUAAUGCACAGGCCUUUUGUUUUCUCUGAUUAAACUGACUCUAACUGUUC
Long non-coding RNA from Gallus gallus (chicken), 1916 nucleotides. Lineage: Eukaryota; Metazoa; Chordata; Aves; Galliformes; Phasianidae. The record is from Ensembl.